This 815-nucleotide long non-coding RNA is filed under the name Gallus gallus (chicken). Lineage: Eukaryota; Metazoa; Chordata; Aves; Galliformes; Phasianidae. The record is from RNAcentral.
UAAACUUGGAGUUACACCUUUUCUAUUUAGAAAAGGGAUCUAAAACAUGUUCAAGUAUGCAGCAUCUUCAUAAACCUCAGCCACUGGGAAAGGGCAACUUCAUGCAACCAAAUAAUAUGAAAAUCAAAACGCAACCCUUAGAAAAAAGGGUAAAAUGUCAUUUCUGCAAACACAACAGAUAGGAAUGUGAAUAAUGUGCAUACAAACUGGGAUGCUGUUGAUGAUACUAAUGAACAGAUGUGAUGACUCAUAUCAAAUCCAAGAAUAUUAGACAACCAAACAUGUAACCUUCUUGUGUUUUCCCUUAAUAUUCAGCAGUCAUUAUGUUGGUUAAGUCCCUUCACUGGUUUUCUGCAAGUCUGAAGAAGUGUUUCUUGUGUCAUUGCCUGCGUCCCCAGCAUCAGAGCUGCUCUUAUUUUCUUCCUCUUUGCAGUCCUUAUCAUCUUCAUCUCCAGGAGAUUUCCGUGACUGCUUGGAGGAUUUCUUUGAAGUGUAGGAUUUUUUUCGUUUUGAGCCUGCUUUUUCGUUCUUUCUUUUGCCUUUUCCAUCCUCUUCUACCCGAUCACCUUCCUCCUCGCUGCUGGCAUCUGCUGUAUUUCCUCCUUCUCCCUCAGUUUCUGAUGAGCUCUGUUGCUGAAUUGCCUGAUAUCCAGUAAACUUUACUCCAGGGUUGUUUUCUAUUUCCCACAGGCCUUCAUUAAAUCCUUUUCGUUUGUUCGACUUCCCAAACUUAUCUUUGUAUUCUUUAUACGGGAAAAGGUCUUUGGGCCCCAGGAACGCACCACUGGCUUUGGGUUACUGCUGCGAGUCUGAUU